This 72-nucleotide transfer RNA is filed under the name Ovis aries (sheep). It matches the Rfam family "tRNA". Rfam says of the family: Transfer RNA (tRNA) molecules are approximately 80 nucleotides in length. Their secondary structure includes four short double-helical elements and three loops (D, anti-codon, and T loops). Further hydrogen bonds mediate the characteristic L-shaped molecular structure. tRNAs have two regions of fundamental functional importance: the anti-codon, which is responsible for specific mRNA codon recognition, and the 3' end, to which the tRNAs corresponding amino acid is attached (by aminoacyl-tRNA synthetases). tRNAs cope with the degeneracy of the genetic code in two manners: having more than one tRNA (with a specific anti-codon) for a particular amino acid; and 'wobble' base-pairing, i.e. permitting non-standard base-pairing at the 3rd anti-codon position. The record is from Rfam by way of RNAcentral. Lineage: Eukaryota; Metazoa; Chordata; Mammalia; Artiodactyla; Bovidae.
UCCCCCCUGGCUCAGUUGGUAAAGAAUCUGCCUGCAAUGCAGGAGCCCCGGGUUCGAUUCCUGGGUCAGGAA